Paramuricea clavata is the source of this 3604-nucleotide non-coding RNA. The record is from the annotation of a GenBank genome assembly. NCBI's taxonomy places the organism in Eukaryota, Metazoa, Cnidaria, Anthozoa, Malacalcyonacea, Plexauridae.
AAAAUUUUUUGCGCGUGGUGAAGAAAGUCUAGAAGCAAGGAAGAAAAAUGGAGGACAUUUUUUUUGUCAAAUUUACCUUUAUUGGAAGGUAAUAUGCUUUCUUUAAUAUCAAUCCCUGUAGUAGAGUACUUAGACUGCCGAUAUAGAUAGAAAUAUAUGACAUCAAGCCCGAAUUUAAAGCGAUAUUCCGAUUAUUUCGGCAUAAAGUUUGUGCUUUUGCUUUGCACGUGGUUCGCUUUUGUAUGUGGUUGCCGACCUAUAAACCGUGUUUUAGUUCAUAAUUAUUAUCAAAACUAUUGACCAAGUGAGUCAAAAGAUGACUCAAGACCUAGAAUUGUUUAAGUUAUUGAAAAAAAUUGUCGUCUCUGAGUUCUUGCUGAACAUUUGUAUAUUAUAAAAUGCCUGGGACGAAUAUUUCAUCCAUUUAGGGGCGGGGGUGUGAAUAGUUUUUCAGAUCGUCGCAUUUUACAGAAAAAAUUGUUCAGAUUUUGGAUCUGGCGAAUAUUUUACAAUUUACAUGGAUUUGCGGAUCUUAUUGACGCAGCGGAUUGCAGAUUUAUCUAAUAUUUUGGCUCGGAUUGUGGAUUUGGCUUGCAAUUUAGUUCGGAUCCUGGAUUGUGACUUCAGAGUAGAGCUUUUAGCGCUGAAAAGUGAAAAUUGCUUCAUUUUAUAAGACAAAAUCCAGAAUUCCAUUUCUUGACAUCGCUGGAGUGAAUUUUGAUAGUGAAAGACUAGGAGGUGCAGUCAUAGAUUUAGGUGGGGCUUCUCGGUAAGCGGGCUAGUAAGAUUAAAGUUCGUAGGCUGAUAGGGCCAAAAAAAAAUAUGUGGGUUUCCGGUUUCCCGACCCUACCUAGCUUUUGGACAUCGAAAUUCCGACCCUAAACUUUUUUAUUGGAUCAUGCUUGUAAGUGUUUCCACUUAGAGGAAAAAGUUUGCAGAAAAUUGAAAUUUGAGGCAAUAUUAGGGAAAUUUAUCUUUGGACGUGGAAGCACUGACUAAACAAAAUGGCGUCCGCUUGUUCGGAAAAUUAAAAAAAAAGUUAAAAAAAAAAGUUAAAACCGAUCUACCCUACCUAAGUUUUUAUAAGAAGAAACCGGAAACCCACAUAUUUUUUUUGGCCUAGUGGAAAGUUUGAAAAGAAACUUGUUCAAUUUUGAAGCACAUACUCCAGGUGGAGAAAUAAAUAGUUCUAUAAAAAAAGAUAUUUAAAAACAUAUAUUUACUGGUACAGCAGACACCUGGAGUCAAAAUGAAUUGACAUUGGGUCGUUCCAGAAAAGAUCCAUACCCCCCUACGGAGGAAAUCGAAAAUAACCCCCUCCCCCCCUUCGGACAUCCUUGAAUGGUUCAUCCUCCCCCCCUCUCCGGACAUCAAAGCCCAAAAUUACCCCCCUCCCCUUCGGACAUCCACUAUUUCUAAAUUUUUCUAAAGGCUACCUUGCCGUUUGAAAACGUCACCGAAAAUUAGACUACGUUCACACUACGCGCAAGCGAACUAAUGCGGGUAGAAUUUAUGUGUGUUCAGGCUAUUAAGCCAUUACAGUUUGUUUACAAAUUGAAUUAGCACUCGUAUAAACCCAAAAUAUUUCAAAUAGACCCAAGAAAUUUAACUGAAAAGCAUUCGAGUUUACACGUUUGUGUUCACACGAAGCUAUCAAGCGCUCCGCCGUUUCACCUCGCUCCGUUUAGAAACCGUGCUCAAAUUGUUACGGCAAAAGUGACGUGAAAGUUUUCAAACGAUUUCGCUCCAGCAUAGAGUGAAUUAGCGAUGGCUUAUUGUGACUUUUCUACGCUGUUUUCAAAAAUUAAAAUAGCUCCGGCGUGGCGGAACACUUGGCAGCUUCUUGUGACUUGCGAACACAAACACGUGGCAGGUUUUGCCGGAUAAUUUGCAGAAAUUUACUUCGAAAUUCGUUCAAGUAAAAUUCGGACAGAAAUUCGAUGUAACUUGUGACUGAUUGACAAGCGUUGCUGUGUUUACUUACAUGUUAAUGCAUUUUUUAGUAUUACUGCAUUCCUUAACCUCGCCCUUAAUAUGAAAGCCAUUUCUAUUUUCUAGACACGCACCUCGCAAGGAAGCUUUAUUGACUAUAUACUAAAACAAAUUGUUUUGAGUUCAGUUCACAUAGCAGUCUCUUAAUUCGAGCAACAGUUUAAUAACUAUUAUUUUUAACACUUGAAUAAUUCAAACUUAUAUAUACGAACGAAAACUGCAAACUAUAUAUAAAUAAAGCGUGUCAAUUUUCGACCCAUUCUCAACAUGCAGGAUACGCUGUUACAGCGAGUUAGUUUUUGGUGGCCAUGCAUGCAAAAGUGGGCCGCUUAUUUUGCUUACGAGUUACGUGGACGUAUAAUUAUCGCUGUUACAUAAACGUUCCGGUGUUCAAGAGCUACAUAUAGCCGAUAAAAAUUGCGUGCUCAUUAUAAUCGCCGAUCACAUAGCUUUAUCACAGUCUCAAACCUUCAGACAAACAUAUCCACAUCCCUCUCCCCCCCUUCGGACAUCCUAAGACAUUUUUCCUCUUCCCCCCUUCGGACAUCCUAAGACAUUUUUCCUCCCUCCCCCUUCGGACAGCAAAAAUUUCCUCCGUGGGGGGGGGGUAUGGAUCUUUUCUGGAACAACCCAUUUAUUCCAAUCAAAUUUUACGUUUCCAAUUUUAAACAUUAGUCAUUAGUCCUAAAAAAAUAUCAUGUGGUUCAGAUUUCAAUCCUGAAAAAUAAGAUAGGUGGGUCAGAAAACAAACUUUCUUGGAAUAUUUUUUGGCUUGACAUUGGCCAGCAAUUGCUGUGACCAGUUGACUUUUCCAUAAUAUAUAGACCUUUCAAGAAGCAAUGGCUGUGGGCAACAGACAAUUAUUAUAGUUUUGGCAUCACAUUACAUCAGAAAACAAACAACAACAAAAAAUAGGGUAAGCAAACAACCCAACCACAUAGAGAAAAAACAGGGCAGAGAAAAUAGGGUUGGCUGGAAAACAGGAACCACAGGAUAUUUUUUGUUUCGGGCUCUAAUGCUCUGCACAUGUUAAUGAGUUUUUUAUCUCACUAGCCAAGCUAUUCACAUCCUCAGUAAAAUUCUCAUCAUUUGUUAUAGAUAUGCAGUGCAUGUUCCGGGAUGUCGCAAGAGCUGAUCAUGAUUACAGAAAAUGGACACAUUCCAAGAUCCUGAAUAAGAGGUAUAUGAUUUUUCUUCUAAUUAUUUCUAACCUUUGUAUUUCUUGGACAAUUUUCUUUGUAAGAUAAUCUGUUUCAUGUUCUCAAUAGUGAUUUUUUUUAAAUUUUCUAGAUGUGUGUUGCAAUUUCCAAGAAUGUCUUGAGUUGUUGGCUGAAGUGUUUUUGAUCACAAAAAUGAACACUGUCAUUGGAAAGUAUAUAAAAGGUCUUGAUAUUUUCCCGCCUUAUCUUACAUGAAAUGCUUUGAAAGUUAUGUGAUUGCUUGUGACCAGUAGUUUCAAAAAUCCCAGCAGAAUAUUGCAAAAAUAGCAUGACCAUCUUACUUAAAUAAAAAGAACAAUAAUAAUAAACACAAUCUGUAAACCUAAAAAAUUGCGAGUUCACAAUAAUUGCACUCUUUUUAUUCUAUUAUUACACAACUAUUUUGAUUUUGG